AGCGAACGUUAGCGGCAGGCCUAACACAUGCAAGUCGCGCGAGAAAGAGGGGUUCGCCCCUCGAGUAAAGCGGCGCACGGGUGAGUAACACGUGGAUAAUCUGCCCUUCGGUGGGGGACA
Molecule: ribosomal RNA, 120 nt
Filed under: uncultured bacterium
Lineage: Bacteria
Description: partial 16S ribosomal RNA
Rfam family: Bacterial small subunit ribosomal RNA
Source: RNAcentral